RNAcentral lists this non-coding RNA (264 nucleotides) under Clostridium sp. Its description in RNAcentral is "T-box sequence". It matches the Rfam family "T-box leader". From Rfam's summary of the family: Uncharged tRNA acts as the effector for transcription antitermination of genes in the T-box leader family. T-boxes are found upstream of many aminoacyl-tRNA synthetase genes and some amino acid biosynthetic genes usually in Gram-positive bacteria. The anticodon of a specific tRNA base pairs to a specifier sequence within the T-box motif, and the NCCA acceptor tail of the tRNA base pairs to a conserved bulge in the T-box antiterminator hairpin. The record is from RNAcentral. Lineage: Bacteria; Bacillati; Bacillota; Clostridia; Eubacteriales; Clostridiaceae.
AUAAAAGCAAUGAAAAGAAUAAGUAAAAAUUAGAUUAACCAAACAGAAAGUUACCGGGUGAUGAGAGGUGCAUGGAAACUAAUUUUGAAUACAUCUUAGAGCUUCAAGCUGAAAAAGAAUUAUCUAGAGUAGGUGAUGACGGAACCCUGCACCCGUUAUAGUGCUAAAGUAUAACCAAGUUUCUUGGCGUACUUGAAGAGGUUAAUCGUGUGAGCGAUUAAUGAAAUUAAGGUGGUAACACGAGAGUAUACUCUUGUCCUUUAU